RNAcentral lists this unclassified non-coding RNA (250 nucleotides) under Hevea brasiliensis (rubber tree). The record is from RNAcentral. Lineage: Eukaryota; Viridiplantae; Streptophyta; Magnoliopsida; Malpighiales; Euphorbiaceae.
AAACUCAAUUAUCUUACAAUCACAUGCCCAGACAUCUUAUUUGCUGUAAGUGUGGUCAGUCAAUUCCUUCAAGCACCAUCUAGUAGUCAUUGGGAUGCAGUUAGUCGGAUACUUAAAUAUAUUAAAGGAGUUCCAGGACAGAGCCUAUUAUAUGAAGACAAGGGUCAUUCACAGAUUAUUGGUUAUUUAGAUGCAGAUUGGGCAGGUUUUCUUUCAGACAGACGGCCUACUUCAGGAUAUUGCAUUAUGA